GGUCCAUGGAGCUUGCUCCGGACGACCUAGUGGCGAACGGGUGCGUAACACGUGAGGAACCUGCCCCGAUCUCUGGGAUAACAGUUGGAAACGACUGCUAAUACCGGAUGCCGUCACCUCGCCUCCUGGCGGAGUGACGAAAGAUUCAUCGGAUCGGGAGGGUCUCGCGGCCUAUCAGCUAGUUGGAGAGGUAACGGCUCACCAAGGCAUCGACGGGUAGCUGGUCUGAGAGGAUGAUCAGCCACACUGGGACUGAGACACGGCCCAGACUCCUACGGGAGGCAGCAGUGGGGAAUCUUGCACAAUGGGCGAAAGCCUGAUGCAGCAACGCCGCGUGCGGGAAGAAGGCCCUAGGGUUGUAACCCGCUUUUCAGUAGGGAAAAAAAUGACGGUACCUACAAAAAAAGGUGCGGCCAACUACGUGCCAGCAGCCGCGGUGACACGUAGGCACCAAGCGUUAUCCGGAUUUAUUGGGCGUAAAGAGCUCGUAGGCGGUUCGGUAAGUCGGGUGUGAAAAAUCUGGGCUCAACCCAGAGAGGCCACCCGAUACUGCUG
RNAcentral lists this ribosomal RNA (555 nucleotides) under uncultured bacterium. RNAcentral describes it as "bacterial SSU rRNA". It matches the Rfam family "Bacterial small subunit ribosomal RNA", at positions 69 to 638 of the family's 1533-position model. The record is from RNAcentral.